ACGCUCGACACCUACGGGAGGUAGCAGUGGGGAAUAUUGCACAAUGGGGGAAACCCUGAUGCAGCGACGCCGCGUGGAGGAAGAAGGUCUUCGGAUUGUAAACUCCUGUUGUUGGGGAAAAAGAGGAUGGUACCCAACAAGGAAGUGACGGCUAACUACGUGCCAACAGCCGCGGUAAUCUGAGCGGGCUGGCAAGGC
RNAcentral lists this ribosomal RNA (198 nucleotides) under uncultured bacterium. RNAcentral describes it as "partial 16S ribosomal RNA". It matches the Rfam family "Bacterial small subunit ribosomal RNA", at positions 328 to 539 of the family's 1533-position model. The record is from RNAcentral.